AUCUAAUACAUAUGACUUAGCUUGUCGGCAAUUUGAGAAGAUUAAUCGCUUGAGGGUUGAGAAGGGAUGGAAUAUUCACCUCUUAGAUGCCACUGAGGUAUUCCUUAAGUGUGGUUUCCAACGUUGAGCAAGAAUGGAAGAUUGGAGUGCUUGGU
This is a long non-coding RNA of Telopea speciosissima, 155 nucleotides long. RefSeq lists it as uncharacterized. The record is from RefSeq and is a predicted model, not a curated record. Lineage: Eukaryota; Viridiplantae; Streptophyta; Magnoliopsida; Proteales; Proteaceae. The transcript is spliced from 3 exons.